Mytilus californianus (California mussel) is the source of this 216-nucleotide long non-coding RNA. RefSeq lists it as uncharacterized. Lineage: Eukaryota; Metazoa; Mollusca; Bivalvia; Mytilida; Mytilidae. The transcript has 3 exons. The record is from RefSeq and is a predicted model, not a curated record.
CCUGAUAUAAAUGAUAAGCUAGACAUUAGAUUAUUCCAGAAGUUUCGAGUUCAUGGGGAACUCUUUGUCCAGCAGUUGAUAAAUAUGAGUAUGAUUAAGACAACCCAGAACUUGACAGAAGCAAUGUAUCAGAGUUUGUUUCAAGAAUUUGCUGCACAGUUUGGAUUAAUGAGUUUGAGUGUUCCUGUUAUUGGUAAAGCACAGGUUGAUAUAGGA